CUGUGAUGAUAUGCUGAUAGCAUUCAUCAUCAGCCAGUGUCACUUCUUGUUUGUAGAGCUUUAGGGCAGCUCUGCUGAGCAGGUGAGUUGUGAUCACUAGCAGAGGAACAAAGCAGCAGAGUGGGCAUGACAAGGAUGAUACAAAAAAAUGAACAAGUUAUACUCUGCUGACUAGGGAAACAUACUGCCCUGACUAAGACAAGGAAACUGAUUAUUUGGCCCAGCCCAUCAAUAUGAAAAUUCAGUGGGCAGGAAGGAAUUUUGUGAAUAAACAAUGAGAAGUAUUUCAUUUGGCAUCAGCAAGCAGAACAUUGGAGAAGCAGCCAUUUUGCUGAAAUAUGACAGGCUGGGAUGGGUGAGCAGGACUCAUGCUAACCUCUGCAGCUGGGCAAACUUAAUCUUUACUGGAUCAGGAAAAGUCAUCCAGAGUCGGUGCUGAGUGAAAACAUAAUGUGACGCACUGAAAACAGAGCAUGUCCUGCAGUGUGCUCCCAGUGUCCUCUGAAGAACAUGUAUUCCAUGAAAGCACAGCCCAAAAAAUGAGGAUGCAGGAAGAAUCAGGUAUGUAGCAGAAAGGGAGAAAGGAAAACCAGACAUGUCCUGUGCACUGCCC
Molecule: long non-coding RNA, 613 nt
Filed under: Manacus vitellinus (golden-collared manakin)
Lineage: Eukaryota; Metazoa; Chordata; Aves; Passeriformes; Pipridae
Description: lncRNA (ENSMVIG00005006993.1)
Source: RNAcentral